AGAAGAUAUGGAUGGAUCCGUCGUAUAAGGAGAUAUCAAAUCGAGCUAAGAAAAAUUGUGCUUCUUCUAAAGGAGGAGCUGUCCAUACAGGUGGAUCUAUAUCCAUUGCUGAACAUACCAUUCAGAUGGCUGAAGAGUUAGGUAGAGACCCCACAUUGGAUGAGGUCUUUUUAAAAACUCACACUAAGAAGAAGGACAAUUCUUGGGUUGAUGAAAGAGCAAAAAAAA
Cicer arietinum (chickpea) is the source of this 228-nucleotide non-coding RNA. The record is from RefSeq and is a predicted model, not a curated record. NCBI's taxonomy places the organism in Eukaryota, Viridiplantae, Streptophyta, Magnoliopsida, Fabales, Fabaceae.